UUUGUGUAGUUCAAAAUCAUGCGGCGCGUAACUAUAAACGAAAUGUGUGUGAUAUAUAGAGAAAAAGCCUGUAGCGUUGUUAAAUAAUUUCAGGUUCGAAAUAAAUAAGAAGCGAACUUUUGUUUGUGUGCAGUCUGUAUAAUCGCGUUACCUUGACAACAAAGCCGGUGGUUAGUAAACAUAGUUCUCCAGGUUGAGGAAUGUAGAAGUAUGAGAGCUGUACCAGCGUGGGUGGACAAAGUUCACGACAGAGACAAGGUUGAACAAUGUAUAUAUGACCUCUGCUUCAACCCAGAUGGAUCACAAUUGGUUGUUGCUGCUGGCCAGAGAGUUCUUGUGUAUGAUACUAGUGAUGGUUCUCUGAUACAGCCUCUGAAAGGUCACAAAGAAAAUGUUUACUGUGUUUGCUAUGCUAAAGAUGGGAAACGUUUUGCAUCAGGGAGUGCUGAUAAAACUGUUAUAAUCUGGACAUCAAAACUUGAAGGGGUAUUGAAAUAUACUCAUAAUGAUGCUAUUCAGUGCCUAGCAUACAAUCCAGUCUCUCAUCAUCUUGCAAGCUGUGCCGUAAGUGACUUUGCAUUUUGGUCAGCAGAACAAAAAGCAGUACAGAAGUAUAAAUCAGGCUACCGCAUAAAUGCUUGUGGCUGGACUAAUGAUGGACAGUACCUCGCACUUGGUCUUAAUAAUGGUUGUGUUUCAAUUCGAAAUAAGAAUGGCGAAGAGAAAGGGAGGAUUGAAAGGCCAGGAGGUGCACAAACUCCAAUCUGGGCUCUUGCAUGGAAUCCAGCAAAGGAAGACAAUUUUGACGUGUUAUGCAUUGCAGACUGGGGUCAAGGUUUAUCGUUUUACACUAUGGGUGGCAAACUGGUGGGCAAAGAGCGCAAUAUUGGCUUUGAUCCCCUUUGUGUUAGUUAUUUCAAUAAUGGCGAAUAUCUUCUCCUUGGUGGAUCAAAUAAAAUGUGUACAUUGAUGACAAAAGAUGGAAUACGUCUUGGAACGGUUGGAGAAGAACAGUCUUCAUGGGUAUGGUGCUGUGCAGCCCGCCCAGAUUCCAAUUAUGUGGCCCUUGGAUGUCAAGAUGGCACAAUUGCAUACUACCAACUGAUAUUUAGCACAGUGCAUGGACUUUACAGAGAACGCUAUGCCUUCAGAGAAAAUAUGACCGAUGUAAUAAUCCAGCAUCUUCUGACAAAUCAGAAAGUCAGAAUAAAAUGUCGAGACCUUAUAAGGAAAAUAGCAAUUUUUAAACAUCGACUAGCAGUUCAGCUUCCGGAACGAGUUGUAAUAUAUGAACUAUAUGCAGGAGAUUCCACAGGAAUGCAUUAUCGCGUGAAAGAAAAAAUUAAUCAAAAAUUGGAAUGUAAUUUACUAGUAGUAUGCACAAACAGUCUUGUUUUGUGUCAGGAGAAACGUUUGCAAUGUCUUACAUUUGAAGGUACGAAAGAGAGAGAAUGGGUCAUGGAAUGUGCCAUACGGUACAUAAAAGUUGUCGGAGGUCCUCCAGGUCGUGAAGGCCUGCUCUUAGGGUUGAAAGAUGGUCAAGUGUGGAAGAUAUAUCUCGACAAUCCAUUUCCUGUGCACCUUCUUAAGGUAGAUUCUGCUGUAAGAUGCCUUGAUCUGAGUCCAUCAAGAAAGAAGUUAGCUGUGGUUGAUGAAAGCAGUCAGUGCCUUGUUUACGAUCUUGUUAAAAAGGAAUUAUUGUUUCAGGAACCUAAUGCUAAUAGUGUUGCAUGGAAUACUCAUUGUGAAGCAAUGCUUUGUUUUUCUGGCAACAAUGUUCUCAGUAUAAAGGUUGACAUGUUUCCUGUUCAUCAGCAGAAAUUACAGGGCUUUGUUGUUGGUCUUUGUGGAUCCAAAGUAUUUUGCCUCCACGUUUCUACAAUGUCAACAGUUGAAGUGCCUUUGUCUGCUCCUAUGUAUCAGUAUCUUGAGAAAAAGCUUUACUAUGACGCUUACCACGUGGCAUGCCUGGGAGUUACUGACACAGAUUGGGAAGCGCUUGGUCAUGCUGCUUUAGAAGGUCUGGAUCUUGAUGUUGCAAAACAUGCAUUUGUGCGGAAAAAAGAUUUGAAAUAUCUUGAGCUAAUAAGUGACAUACAGGAAAGAUUACGUAAAGGAGAAAAGGAUAAGGAAAUGUUCAUUGCAGAUAUAUUAGCUUUUCGUGGAAAAUUCAAAGAAGCUGCCCGGAUGUACCAGCGUUUGGGUCAAGAGCAGAGAGCUCUUAAUAUGUACAUUGAUUUGCGUAUGUUUGACUUGGCACAGGAUUACCUAGGUGCUGUUGAUAGCGUUGAUCGUAAAGCAUUGAUUCGCAAGAAAGCUGACUGGGCGAGGAAUAUUAAUGAACCUCGAGCAGCAGCGGAGAUGUAUCUCUCAUCUGGUGAUACAGAAAGAGCUAUUGAAAUUAUUGGCGAAAAUGGCUGGAUUGACAUGUUGGUGGAUGUUGGCCGGAGGCUUGACAAAGCAGAUCAAGAUGGUAUUAGGCAGAUUGCCGAACAUUUACAGCGAUUAGGACAAUUAAGCUAUGCAACUGAAAUGUUCAGAAAACUAGGUGAUGAGAAGAGUAUAGUUUUAUUGUAUGUAGAGGCCCAAGACUGGAAAGAAGCAUUUUUAUUAGCAGAAAAGCAACCUGAAUAUAGAGAUUUAGUGUAUGUUCCAUAUGCGCAAUGGCUUGCAGAAAAUGAUAGAUUUGCAGAGGCUCAGAAAGCUUUCCAUAAAGCUGGCCGCCCUGAAGAAGCUUUCCGUGUGUUACAUCAGUUGAUUCUAAAUGCUGUUAAUGAGAGUCGAUUUCAAGAUGCAGGAUACUAUCAUUGGAUAUUGGCACACCAGUGUCUGGAUAUUGCUAGAUCAGAUGAACAUCAGAAGACCAAGAUGAUAGAAAGAUUUCAUGAACAUGAAAAACAUGCAUCUAUUUAUUACGCAUAUGAUGCAAUACAGAAAUAUCUUGACGAGCCAUUUACUUCUUAUAUGCCAGAAGCCCUCUUCAGUAUAUCGAGGUAUUUGAUGCUUGAGACAAAAGAUUUGCGACCCAAAGGAGUAUCUCAGUUUGCUAUAUUGUACACACUUGAAAAGCAAUCCCAGCAGCUGGAGGCAUACAAGUUAGCACGGCAAGUACUGGAAAAAAUCCAACAGCUUCGAAUACCACAUAGAUUCCAGGAAUACAUAGAUCUUUCAUCAAUAAUGAUACGAGCCAAGCCAUAUCAUGACAAUGAAGAAUUGCUCCCCAUGUGUUACCGUUGCUCUACUUAUAACCCACUGAUGAACACAUCUGGAAAUUGUUGUACACAAUGUAGGCAACCAUUUGUGCAUUCAUAUGUUUCCUUUGAAGUCUUGCCACUUGUGGAAUUUCAACUAGAGGAUGGAAUCACUGAUGAAGAAGCUGUCCAAUUGAUAGAAGCUGGAAAUCCAUCAAGUUCUGCAAAUGAUGGGUGGAAACAAGGAGGAAGUGAUCACUACCAAACGUUACAGUUUGAUGAAUCUUCUAACAGUGUAUCAGAUCUGUUCACUGCAAAUCUCAUGAACUUUGAGACUGAAACUGGUGAGUUUGUGCCUGUGCUUGUUAGCAGAGCUGUCCUAAAAACUAUGGAUCCAGGAAGUGUACUCAUCUGCAAACGGCCAAAACCCUUGAGGUUCCAGUUCUACCGAAACUUACUCCCAGAUCUGCAGAUAACACAGUGCCCAUCAUGCAAUAAGAUACUGUUACAGUCAACAACUUAAACAAUGAAAAAUCCAGGGUGAAGUAAUGACAAUAUUAGGAAAAAGAUAUAUAUAAUGAAAAUGUUGAAUCGCAGACAGGCACUACAAAAAAAGACUGCUAAACAGGUGUUCCAUGUUGAUGACUAUGAACUUCAGGUACUGCUGAAAGGACACUGUCCAUUCUGCAGGUAUCAGGAGAGACAAUCAUCGAGUGAAACCGAAGAUAAUAAAUUGGUAUAACAUGUCAGUGCACUCCCCAC
RNAcentral lists this unclassified non-coding RNA (3953 nucleotides) under Schistocerca americana (American grasshopper). RNAcentral describes it as "intraflagellar transport protein 122 homolog, transcript variant X1". Lineage: Eukaryota; Metazoa; Arthropoda; Insecta; Orthoptera; Acrididae. The record is from RNAcentral.